Molecule: non-coding RNA, 191 nt
Filed under: Aquicella lusitana
Lineage: Bacteria; Pseudomonadati; Pseudomonadota; Gammaproteobacteria; Legionellales; Coxiellaceae
Source: RNAcentral
UCGAGCCGUGUGCACCGAAAGGUGCAAGCACGGUUCCUAUGGGAGCUACGCUCGGUAACGGGCGUUAGCUUACCAGGCGGGUUCUUGCGCUGGACCCGUAGCCAAUUCCGCCACCUGAUAGCCAUUUUCAGCCAGUUCCUCUAAGAAUGAAUCGUCUGAUUUUAAAUUAGAAUAAUCCUACUUACCAACAU